GUAUGUGACCUUAAUCAACUAUUUUUCGUAAGGAAUGAAAUGCAGCUCAAAGCUGCACGGAAAAACUCUAGUGCGUUUGGAUUGAAAGUUGAUAAUUUCAAGCAAUUGGACAAUUUAGGAGUUAACAAGGACUUGGGAUAUUAAGAGAAAGCUCACAGGGUCAAAAUUUCUUGCCGGGUACCUCUAACAGCAAGCAGUACUGGGCCUGUAAAAAGAUUAAAGGAUUGUCACAAAUCUACAGUCUUCGAUGAACCGGACAUUCACAAAGUCUUGUGACCUGUUGGUCUGAAGUUUCUCAUUGCAUGGGCUAGACCUCUUCUCAGGUAAUUAAUAUUUGCAGAAAUAU
This is a long non-coding RNA of Eurytemora carolleeae, 346 nucleotides long. RefSeq lists it as uncharacterized. Lineage: Eukaryota; Metazoa; Arthropoda; Copepoda; Calanoida; Temoridae. The record is from RefSeq and is a predicted model, not a curated record. The transcript has 5 exons.